Molecule: small nucleolar RNA, 79 nt
Filed under: Sorghum bicolor (sorghum)
Lineage: Eukaryota; Viridiplantae; Streptophyta; Magnoliopsida; Poales; Poaceae
Description: Plant small nucleolar RNA R71
Rfam family: Plant small nucleolar RNA R71
About the family: R71 is a member of the C/D box family of snoRNAs containing the C (UGAUGA) and D (CUGA) box motifs. Multiple nearly identical copies of this snoRNA have been identified in Arabidopsis, and it is thought to function as a 2'-O-ribose methylation guide for 18S ribosomal RNA.
Source: Rfam by way of RNAcentral
AUUCCAUGGUGAGGACAAUCUAAUAUGUAUCCUUGAAAACGCUCCCAUGCUUCUGAAAUGGCUUCUGUCUUCUGCUGUU